This 644-nucleotide long non-coding RNA is filed under the name Rattus norvegicus (Norway rat). Its description in RNAcentral is "long non-coding RNA NONRATT002457". The record is from RNAcentral. Lineage: Eukaryota; Metazoa; Chordata; Mammalia; Rodentia; Muridae.
CGUGUUCAUACUUGUAGCUAUGCCGUCCAAGGGUCCGCUGCAGUCCGUUCAAGUCUUCGGACGCAAGAAAACAGCCACAGCUGUGGCCCACUGCAAACGAGGAAAUGGGCUCAUCAAGGUGAAUGGACGUCCCCUGGAGAUGAUCGAGCCGCGCACGCUGCAGUACAAGAAGUACAAGUUUACAGACUCAUGUGUAUGAUAACCUAGCUCCUUGGAUAAUAGCAUACUACUAGUUACAAGUCUAACGUGCAGUUUGGGUCACCAUGGAGCUACAGUGUGAAACACUGCAAAGUAAUAAAAGUUACUGGAGCCUGUUCUGCUUCUGGGCAAGGAGAGAUUUGCUGGUGUGGAUAUCCGGGUCCGUGUGAAGGGUGGUGGUCAUGUGGCCCAAAUUUAUGCUAUCCGGCAGUCUAUCUCAAAAGCUCUGGUGGCUUAUUACCAAAAAUAUGUGGAUGAAGCCUCUAAGAAGGAGAUCAAAGAUAUCCUCAUCCAGUACGAUCGGACCCUGCUUGUAGCUGACCCCCGUCGCUGCGAAUCCAAGAAGUUUGGCGGUCCCGGUGCCCGUGCCCGGUACCAGAAAUCCUACCGAUAAGCCAGUCUCAAGGAUCAGGGUUUACCUUUGUAAUAAACAUCCUGGGACUUUA